CAGAUCUCACCUAACUGCCAGGCUUAACCCAAAAACCACUCGAAUGGUUCAAAGAGGUUCAACACCUAUAUGAUAAAACCAUUACGUUGUUUUCAAUCAACAUCCGAUCGGUAUUGUUUCUAGGCAUAAAAACGAGUCACCACACAACAUAAUUCAACUGACAUAACAGAUGUGUUCAACAUGUAAGAUUCUAAAUGUGGUCACCAGUACCAUUUUCGGAACCCAUUCCACCAGACUGGUAGAUGCACUUGGCGUCCGCGACAGUUUAACCGGUUAUUACUAAGUUAAAAUGUGAGUGCCUACGUAGAAUUCAGAUGGUAUUCAGUUGGUGGAGCUUUUUAAAGAAAAAUUGUGGCUUGUGGUGCACCGCUUGUACUUGUCCUCGAACAACACAUAGCAAAGACACUCGUCGGAGAAUAUAUUCCUACAAAUGCAAUGUAAUAAUUGGAAAAUAAUCAUUAAGAGAUAAUAUUACAUCUUCACCGAUGUAUAUAAGAUAUC
Topomyia yanbarensis is the source of this 501-nucleotide long non-coding RNA. RefSeq lists it as uncharacterized. The record is from RefSeq and is a predicted model, not a curated record. The transcript is spliced from 3 exons. Lineage: Eukaryota; Metazoa; Arthropoda; Insecta; Diptera; Culicidae.